RNAcentral lists this ribosomal RNA (441 nucleotides) under uncultured bacterium. Its description in RNAcentral is "partial 16S ribosomal RNA". It matches the Rfam family "Bacterial small subunit ribosomal RNA", at positions 338 to 795 of the family's 1533-position model. The record is from RNAcentral.
CCUACGGGUGGCAGCAGUGGGGAAUAUUGCACAAUGGGGGAAACCCUGAUGCAGCAACGCCGCGUGAAGGAAGACGGUUUUCGGAUUGUAAACUUCUGUUCUUAGUGAAGAAUAAUGACGGUAGCUAAGGAGCAAGCCACGGCUAACUACGUGCCAGCAGCCGCGGUAAUACGUAGGUGGCAAGCGUUGUCCGGAAUUACUGGGUGUAAAGGGAGCGCAGGCGGGAAGCCAAGUCAGCUGUGAAAACUACGGGCUUAACUUGUAGACUGCAGUUGAAAUUGGUUUUCUUGAGUGAAGUAGAGGUUGGCGGAAUUCCGAGUGUAGCGGUGAAAUGCGUAGAUAUUAGGAAGAACACCAGUGGCGAAGGCGGAUUACUGGACGACAACUGACGGUGAGGCGCGAAAGCGUGGGGAGCAAACAGGAUUAGAUACCCCAGUAGUC